GUCGUGCACGCCCGGAGUGCUCUCUCACAUCCAUCUCACCCCUUUGUGCAUCAUCGCGUGGGGCCCUCUCCUUUGGCUUGUUCCGGAAGGGGGGGGGUUCACGUUUUUACACGAACAACCCAUUAAUGCAUGUGUAGAAUGUCUUACUUUUUGCGGUCACACGCAAUCAAUACAACUUUCAACAACGGAUCUCUUGGCUCUCGCAUCGAUGAARAACGCAGCGAAAUGCGAUACGUAAUGUGAAUUGCAGAAUUCAGUGAAUCAUCGAAUCUUUGAACGCACCUUGCGCCCCUUGGUAUUCCGAGGGGUGCACCCGUUUGAGUGUCGUGAACACCCUCAACCUUCUUGGUUUAUCGACCGGGAAGGCUUGGACUUUGGAGGUUUUUGUUGCUGGCCUCGUUUGAAGCCAGCUCCUCCUAAACGAAUUAGUGGGGUCCGCCGUGCCGACCCUCGACGUGAUAAGUAUGCUUCUACGUCUUGGGGUUUCGCACUGUYGCCUGCUUCCAACCGUCUUCGAAUGAAGACAAUCUUAUAGACCUUGACCUCAAAUCGGGUGAGACUACCCGCUGAACUUAAGCAUAUCAAUAA
Molecule: ribosomal RNA, 588 nt
Filed under: Russula cf. aeruginea ME12_D1
Lineage: Eukaryota; Fungi; Basidiomycota; Agaricomycetes; Russulales; Russulaceae
Description: eukaryotic LSU rRNA
Rfam family: 5.8S ribosomal RNA (bases 174-327)
Source: RNAcentral